Corticium candelabrum is the source of this 683-nucleotide RNA transcript. RefSeq lists it as uncharacterized. NCBI's taxonomy places the organism in Eukaryota, Metazoa, Porifera, Homoscleromorpha, Homosclerophorida, Plakinidae. The transcript is spliced from 2 exons. The record is from RefSeq and is a predicted model, not a curated record.
UCAGUUGCCAUCCAAACGGACGUAUCAUCCGGUUAGCGAAGACGUUCCACGCGUAUUAUGUCAAACUUGUCAGAAAGGAGUCCGGGCCGCUUACAAGCUCGUGUCCAGUUUACGAAGUAGUACUAGCAAGAAAAGAUGACUGCCAACUCUUUCUCUGUACCAGAGCACCAGUGAAGUACGUCUCGGAUUGUUGCGCAAUUGUCUUGUAUGGCUCGAUGGGGAAUACUACAACUCUGGUCUGGGUGAUUGAUUGAUCCGAUUACUUUCUAUAGACGAUUUGUUAGAGCUUUUGUGAUUAUUUUGUAGCUGGUAUUCAGAAGGCUGAUGGGACGCCAGUUCUUGAGAUCGUUUCGAUUCCCUUUCUUAUAUAUGAUAUGAAUGAUUCCGGUUCUCUGGCUAUACGAAAGAGAGGUCUUUUCUUCGACUGUGUUAACCAUUUGCACAAAAUCAUCUCUAAGCAGUGACCAGAAAGCUCUAUAAAAUUCUGUCGUACGGUCAUCCAUGCCAGGAGACUUGCCUGCGUGUAGUGUUUUGAGAGACUCUGUACACUCUUCCAGUGUUAACGGACCUUCACAUGUAAACUGUCUGUGCAUGUUAAUUGUUUGUUGAGAUGAGACAGAGCUUGCAAACUAGUUUUGUCGUUUAUUGGUUGCUCUCAGUAGAAGUUGGUAUAAAACGUUUGA